This 229-nucleotide ribosomal RNA is filed under the name uncultured bacterium. RNAcentral's name for it is "partial 16S ribosomal RNA". It matches the Rfam family "Bacterial small subunit ribosomal RNA", at positions 568 to 796 of the family's 1533-position model. The record is from RNAcentral.
UGCGUAGGCGGAUUGAUAAGUCAGCGAUGAAAACCUUCAGCUUAACUGGAGACUUGCCAUUGAUACUGUUAGUCUUGAGUACGGUCAAGGUAGGCGGAAUGUGUAAUGUAGCGGUGAAAUGCUUAGAUAUUACACAGAACACCGAUUGCGAAGGCAGCUUACUGGGCCAUUACUGACGCUGAGGCACGAAAGCGUGGGGAGCGAACAGGAUUAGAUACCCUGGUAGUCC